UAGGGAAUCUUCCGCAAUGGGCGAAAGCCUGACGGAGCAACGCCGCGUGAGUGAUGAAGGUCUUCGGAUCGUAAAACUCUGUUAUUAGGGAAGAACAAAUGUGUAAGUAACUAUGCACGUCUUGACGGUACCUAAUCAGAAAGCCACGGCUAACUACGUGCCAGCAGCCGCGGUAAUACGUAGGUGGCAAGCGUUAUCCGGAAUUAUUGGGCGUAAAGCGCGCGUAGGCGGUUUUUUAAGUCUGAUGUGAAAGCCCACGGCUCAACCGUGGAGGGUCAUUGGAAACUGGAAAACUUGAGUGCAGAAGAGGAAAGUGGAAUUCCAUGUGUAGCGGUGAAAUGCGCAGAGAUAUGGAGGAAAACCAGUGGCGAAGGCGACUUUCUGGUCUGUAACUGACGCUGAUGUGCGAAAGCGUGAGGAUCAAACAGG
This 429-nucleotide ribosomal RNA is filed under the name Actinomycetes bacterium. RNAcentral's name for it is "Actinobacteria bacterium partial 16S ribosomal RNA". It matches the Rfam family "Bacterial small subunit ribosomal RNA", at positions 355 to 776 of the family's 1533-position model. Lineage: Bacteria; Bacillati; Actinomycetota; Actinomycetes. The record is from RNAcentral.